This 200-nucleotide ribosomal RNA is filed under the name uncultured eukaryote. RNAcentral describes it as "partial 18S ribosomal RNA". It matches the Rfam family "Eukaryotic small subunit ribosomal RNA", at positions 588 to 788 of the family's 1831-position model. The record is from RNAcentral.
GCUCCAAUAGCGUAUAUUAAAGUUGUUGCGGUUAAAAAGUUCGUAGUCGAAUUUUGGGCCUGAUUGUGCGGUCUUACCGAAAGGUUUGUACUGCUCUGGUCGGGCCUUUCCUUCUGGGGAACUAUCGUGCUCUUAAUUGAGUGCGUUAGGGAUCCAGGACUUUUUACUUUGAAAAAAUUAGAGUGUUUAAAGCAGGCAUU